Molecule: ribosomal RNA, 244 nt
Filed under: uncultured bacterium
Lineage: Bacteria
Description: partial small subunit ribosomal RNA
Rfam family: Bacterial small subunit ribosomal RNA
Source: RNAcentral
AGAAUCAACGCUGGCGGCGUGCCUAACACAUGCAAGUCGAACGAGAAAGUGGAGCAAUCCAUGAGUAAAGUGGCGACCGGGUGAGUAACACGUGACUAACCUACCUUCGAGUGGGGGAUAACAUCGGGAAACCGAUGCUAAUACCGCAUAACAUCGCAAAAUCAAAGCAGCAAUGCGCUUGAAGAGGGGGUCGCGGCUGAUUAGCUAGUUGGCGGGGUAACGCCCACCAAGGCGAAGAUCGGUA